This 253-nucleotide ribosomal RNA is filed under the name uncultured bacterium. RNAcentral's name for it is "partial 16S ribosomal RNA". It matches the Rfam family "Bacterial small subunit ribosomal RNA", at positions 524 to 776 of the family's 1533-position model. The record is from RNAcentral.
UACGGAGGGGGCAAGCGUUGUUCGGAUUUACUGGGCGUAAAGGGUGUGUAGGCGGCUGGAUAAGUCUGGCGUGAAAUCUAUGGGCUCAACUCAUAGACUGCAUGAGAAACUGCCGGGCUUGAGUAUGGGAGAGGUGAGUGGAAUUCCUGGUGUAGCGGUGAAAUGCGUAGAUAUCAGGAGGAACACCUGUGGCGAAAGCGGCUCACUGGACCAUAACUGACGCUGAUGCACGAAAGCUAGGGGAGCAAACAGG